AGUGAACGCUGGCGGUAGGCCUAACACAUGCAAGUCGAACGGCAGCACAUUCAUUGCUUGCUCUUUCGGGUGGCGAGUGGCGGCCGGGUGAGGAAUACAUCGGAAUCUACUUUUUCGUGGGUUAUAACUUAGGGUAACUUACUCUAUUUCCUCAUACGUCCUACUGGUGAAUGCAGGGUAUCUUCGGACCUUGCUCUCUUGAAUGAGCCGAUGUCGUAUCAGCUAGUUGGCGGGGUAAAGGCCAACUAACGCGACGAUCCGUAGCUGGUCUGAGAGGCUGAUCAGCCACACUGGAACUGAGACACGGUCAAGACUCAGACGGGAGGGAGCAGUGGGGAAGAUUGGACAAGGGGAGCAAGCCUGAUCCAGACAUACCGCGUGGGUGAAGAAGGCCUUCGGGUUGGAAAGCCCUUUUGUUGGGGAAGAAAAGCAGCAGGUUAAUACGGCGCUGUGGUGACGGUACCCAAAGAAUAAGCACCGGCUAACUUCGUG
This 492-nucleotide ribosomal RNA is filed under the name uncultured bacterium. RNAcentral's name for it is "partial 16S ribosomal RNA". It matches the Rfam family "Bacterial small subunit ribosomal RNA", at positions 29 to 507 of the family's 1533-position model. The record is from RNAcentral.